RNAcentral lists this ribosomal RNA (465 nucleotides) under Vreelandella stevensii. RNAcentral's name for it is "partial 16S ribosomal RNA". It matches the Rfam family "Bacterial small subunit ribosomal RNA", at positions 338 to 795 of the family's 1533-position model. Lineage: Bacteria; Pseudomonadati; Pseudomonadota; Gammaproteobacteria; Oceanospirillales; Halomonadaceae. The record is from RNAcentral.
CCUACGGGAGGCUGCAGUGGGGAAUAUUGGACAAUGGGGGCAACCCUGAUCCAGCCAUGCCGCGUGUGUGAAGAAGGCCCUCGGGUUGUAAAGCACUUUCAGUGAGGAAGAACGCCUGGUGGUUAAUACCCAUCAGGAAAGACAUCACUCACAGACGAAGCACCGGCUAACUCCGUGCCAGCAGCCGCGGUAAUACGGAGGGUGCGAGCGUUAAUCGGAAUUACUGGGCGUAAAGCGCGCGUAGGUGGCUUGAUAAGCCGGUUGUGAAAGCCCCGGGCUCAACCUGGGAACGGCAUCCGGAACUGUCAAGCUAGAGUGCAGGAGAGGAAGGUAGAAUUCCCGGUGUAGCGGUGAAAUGCGUAGAGAUCGGGAGGAAUACCAGUGGCGAAGGCGGCCUUCUGGACUGACACUGACGCUGAGGUGCGAAAGCGUGGGUAGCAAACAGGAUUAGAUACCCUUGUAGUC